Molecule: unclassified non-coding RNA, 1091 nt
Filed under: Hevea brasiliensis (rubber tree)
Lineage: Eukaryota; Viridiplantae; Streptophyta; Magnoliopsida; Malpighiales; Euphorbiaceae
Source: RNAcentral
UCAGAUGAAUUAUUUAAACAAGGUACUGCUUUUCUUAGGAGUUCUUUUCUGGCCCUUGUGAUUUUGAAGGACAAAACCUCUUGCAUUGACCAUAUGCUGUUCAUUUCCAAGUAAGCUUAGUAGCUUAUGAACUAGGAUAAUUUUAAAUGUGCCUAGUUAUUUACAAUUUACUAGAAAAACUUUUACUCUAAACUUUAGAUCUCUAGUAUUAUGAUGAACCCUUGAACUUCCUGAUGACAUGACUUUGCUGGAUUUGAGUAAUUUUAAGCUUUGAUUAUGUUCAGUAUAUCAUUAUUGUAAUCAGCCACAAUAUUCAUGUACAAAUUGAGAAUUUAUGCUACACAUUUUCUUUUCCUGUCGUUAUAGUAUAUUUAAUAAAUUUGGAUAGCCAACUCUUAAAGAAGCAUAGGGAGAAAUAGCACAAAAACUAAGAUGGUGUUCUGUAAAACUAAAAAUUAGGUGCUGCAACUUUAAAAGCUGAAUAAUUUUAAUGUUGAAAAUUUGAAGAGCUUUAGUAAUGAGAAAUUAAGGGCUGGAAUGUAAUUGAAUUAAAAGAGUUGAAAUUUAAAACUGAAGAAUCUGCUUUAAAUUUAAAUAUAUUGUUUUAUAUAUUAAACUAAGCAUGAAAUAGAAAGAUGAAUUGGCAAGGAUCAAGUAGUGAUGACUAUAUUAUUGUGUUGAUUGUAUCGGUAGCAAUGAUGGUGAUGGUGAUUGUGGUAGUAGUUGUUAUUGAUGAUUGCCAGGGUGAUAUUUGUGGUAUUAGUGGCAGCAAUAUCUGGAAGCAAUGGUGAAAAUCUUCUGCUUGCAGCCACAGAGCUGUAAAUUUUAAUACUGAGGGCAGUUAUGAUAACAAUAACAACAACAACUAAGCCUUAAAAAACAAUUACAGACAAUUCAUUUAAGCUGCAUCUCUGCACUGCAAUCUUCAAAGACGUUUGCUGGGUUUGGACUUGAGAAACCAUUAUUGCAAACCAGUUAUAAUUGUAGCAUUCAGCAGCUAGACAAUGCACUUGCACAUUCCCGAUCAAAGAAAUGCAAGUUAAGCAUCAGAACAAUGAACAAAAUAAAGGAUUUGAUUUAACAUGUUUUUU